CCAAACAUGUUGGUUAAAACCCCUCCUUUACUA
Molecule: transfer RNA, 33 nt
Filed under: Phyllobates vittatus
Lineage: Eukaryota; Metazoa; Chordata; Amphibia; Anura; Dendrobatidae
Description: partial tRNA-Met
Source: RNAcentral